Molecule: ribosomal RNA, 253 nt
Filed under: uncultured bacterium
Lineage: Bacteria
Description: partial 16S ribosomal RNA
Rfam family: Bacterial small subunit ribosomal RNA
Source: RNAcentral
UACAGAGGGUGCGAGCGUUGUUCGGAAUCAUUGGGCGUAAAGAGCGUGUAGGCGGCCAGGUAGGUCUGCUGUGAAAACUCGAGGCUCAACCUCGAGACGUCGGCGGAAACCAUCUGGCUAGAGUCCGGAAGAGGAGAGUGGAAUUCCUGGUGUAGCGGUGAAAUGCGCAGAUAUCAGGAAGAACACCCGUGGCGAAGGCGGCUCUCUGGGACGGUACUGACGCUGAGACGCGAAAGCGUGGGGAGCGAACAGG